RNAcentral lists this ribosomal RNA (253 nucleotides) under uncultured bacterium. RNAcentral describes it as "partial 16S ribosomal RNA". It matches the Rfam family "Bacterial small subunit ribosomal RNA", at positions 524 to 776 of the family's 1533-position model. The record is from RNAcentral.
UACGGAUGGUGCGAGCGUUGUCCGGAAUCACUGGGCGUAAAGGGCGCGUAGGCGGCGCGGGGAGUCAACGGUGAAAGCUCGGCGCUCAACGCCGAGUCGGCCGUCGAUACUCCCGUGCUCGAGCACUGUAGAGGCAGGUGGAAUUCCGGGUGUAGCGGUGGAAUGCGUAGAGAUCCGGAAGAACACCGGUGGCGAAGGCGGCCUGCUGGGCAGUAGCUGACGCUGAGGCGCGACAGCGUGGGGAGCAAACAGG